This 245-nucleotide ribosomal RNA is filed under the name uncultured Bacteroides sp. RNAcentral's name for it is "partial 16S ribosomal RNA". It matches the Rfam family "Bacterial small subunit ribosomal RNA", at positions 524 to 768 of the family's 1533-position model. The record is from RNAcentral. Lineage: Bacteria; Pseudomonadati; Bacteroidota; Bacteroidia; Bacteroidales; Bacteroidaceae.
UACGGAGGAUGCGAGCGUUAUCCGGAUUUAUUGGGUUUAAAGGGAGUGUAGGCGGAUGAUUAAGUCAGUUGUGAAAGUUAAAGGCUCAACCUUUAAAUUGCAGUUGAAACUGGUUAUCUUGAGUGCAGUAAAUGUGGGCGGAAUUCGUGGUGUAGCGGUGAAAUGCUUAGAUAUCACGAAGAACUCCAAUUGCGAAGGCAGCUCACAGGAGUGUAACUGACGCUGAUGCUCGAAAGUGUGGGAAU